GGAAAUGACCCUUACGGGCCCCCGUAAGACAGGCUCUUGCCAACUUCGCGUCUCAUUGGUGGCGGAAGAAGUGGGCGGGUCGACCGAGGAGCCUGAGGAAGAGGGCGGCGGCGUUCGUGGUGAUUGAACGGAGCCCUGGUGACAGGAUGGACCUGUAUAUAGUGGUGGCUGACCUAAAACUUCCUAUAGAGCUAGUUGGUGUUGGUACUAGGAGAUCUGCACAUUCCGCACCGGUGCAACAGCCUGCCGGCCAAGUUUAAAAAACUCCUGGUGCCAGGAAAAAUCCAGCACAUCCUCUGCACCGGCAACCUCUGCACCAAGGAGAGCUACGACUAUCUCAAGACUCUGGCUGGCGACGUCCACAUCGUGAGAGGAGACUUCGAUGAGAAUCUGAAUUACCCAGAACAAAAGGUUGUGACUGUGGGCCAGUUCAAGAUCGGUCUGAUCCACGGACACCAAGUUAUUCCGUGGGGAGACAUGGCUAGCUUAGCCCUGCUGCAGAGGCAGUUUGAUGUGGACAUUCUUAUCUCAGGACACACACACAAAUUUGAAGCAUUUGAGCAUGAAAAUAAAUUCUACAUUAACCCAGGUUCUGCCACUGGGGCCUAUAAUGCCUUGGAAACAAACAUUAUUCCAUCGUUUGUGCUGAUGGACAUCCAGGCUUCUACUGUGGUCACUUACGUCUAUCAACUAAUUGGAGAUGACGUCAAAGUAGAACGAAUUGAGUAUAAAAAGUCGUAAAGCCAGGCUGGUCUCCACCACUUAUUUUGUCCUCAUUUCAUUGUUUAAAUCAAAUAAUUAAACACUUAAGAGGCACACAGUUGUAUCACUUUUAUAAUACUUUGCACUAAAAAGUCUUCUCUGUUAAUCCAUAGUUGCUCUAAAGCUUCUUGUAAACUGUUAAGAAUAUAUUUAGUUUGCAGUGUAUGGUUUCUAUAAGAAGCAGCCCACCCAACAGUGCAGGGCCACGUUAGGAAGUUGUCCUUGUAAAUAGCCUCCUAGUUGGUAUUUGGACUUCAUUACAAAACUAGCGCAUGAAGAGAAAGAAUCCAGACUUUGUGUGUAUGUUUUCUCUUCUCUGGUAAUAAAUGUGUACCUUCCAUUUAGACUUUCUUGAAAACCUGUGUUUAAUUUAAAAACCAUAGACUUGAAAUCUCAGCACUCAAGAGGCAGAGGCAGGUGGAUCUCUUAAGCAUUUUUUGCCAAUGCUAGGCCAGCCAAAGCUACACAGGAGACCCUGGCUCAAAAACAAAACAAACACAAGAACAUAAAAAUGAGAAGCCAAAUGCAACUGCCGAUGUGCUAGAGUGAAGGGCACACAACUGCAGAUGUGUUAGAGCAGUUAUGAUCCUGUGUCUGAGACUCCUUUGGGGUGUAACAACCCUUUUACAGGGGUCACCUGAGACUGUUAGAAAAUAGAUAUUAGAUGGGUUGUGGUGCACGCCUUUAAUCCCUGUCGGGAGGCAGUGGCAGGUGGAUCUAUUGAGUUCAAAGCCAGCCUGGUCUACCGAAUAAGUUCCUGGACACACAGGGCUACACAGACAAACUUCUGCCUCUUGAGUGUUGGGAUUAAAGGUGUGGCUACCACUGUCCAACUCAACAGCGAUUCAUUUUUUUUUUUUAAAGAUUCAUUUAUUUCAUGUAUGUGAGUGCACUGUAGCUGUCUUCAGACACACCAGAAGAGGGCAUCAGAUCUCAUUACGGAUGGUUGUGAGCCACCAUGUGGUUGCUGGGGAUUGAACUCAGGGCCUCUGGAAGAGCAGCCAGUGCUCUUAACGGCUGAGUCAUCUCUCCAGCCCUCAGCAAUGAUUCUUAAGCCUUGUUGCACGAGUGUUUGUUUGGAUUUAACAAUUUUUUCAGACAGUAUCUUACUAUAUACCUGAAUUCACAGUGUAGCUCAGGCUGGCCUGGAACUCACAGAAAUCUGUGUCUGUCUUUGCCUCCCAAGCACUAGGAUUAAAGGUGUAUAUCACUAUGCCUAUCUUAGCCACAGGUUUUUAAUUUAUAUUUACUAGCAAAUAUUGACCAAUCUGCUUUUGAAGGUGAGAUCUGCAAAUACUAUUCUGUGUAAAUAUUUUCCAGUUUCCUGGUUUAAUCAAGAAAAACUUUCUGGAAUAACCAACAAUUACAUGUACACGCACACAUUUACAAAGUUAUAAACUAUAAAUUUAUAAACUAAAAGGAGAAAUAAUAUAUUUGCCAGACUCGGGGCUGGAGAGAUGCCUCAGUGGCAGUUUAAGAGCACUGCCUGCUUUCCCAGGAUGGGGUUCAAUUCCCAGCAUCCACAUGGCAGCUAUACUGUCUAUAACUCCAGCCCCAUAAGUUCCAGGACCUUUACACAGACAGACAUGCAGGCAAAGCACCAAUGCACAUAAAAUAAAGAUAAUUUAAAAUUCAGUUUUAUGUUGCAAGUAAAAUUUUAAUUGUUCUAGCUAGAAACAAGCAUACAUUACACAUUAACACAGAAAUAUAUCAGACGAAGGCGGCUAUUAUAAAUUUCUCAACAACCAAAAUAACAUACCGUUACUACUAGUACUAUCCCAUACAUGGUCCACUCUUCCCUGUGCACUCAGCAUGUGGAUGUUAGCUGAUGGCUGAGCUUGGUGUGGAGGACUAGACCGUCAGGCUGGCGUGAGCUGGGCCUUGUUCUUGGAUGGACAUGGACUGCAUGCACUUAUUCAGCAGAUCCUCCUCCUGUGUUUCUUCACUCGGGCAUGACUGAGAAUCAUUAGAAGGAACUACAGGGAAGAUAAGUGUUUAUAAUGCAUUCUGGAAAUAAAAUUCUUUAAUUUUAUUACUAUUA
Mus musculus (house mouse) is the source of this 2803-nucleotide RNA transcript. It is a transcript of the gene named VPS29 retromer complex component, with no coding region annotated. The transcript is spliced from 5 exons. The record is from RefSeq and is marked validated. Lineage: Eukaryota; Metazoa; Chordata; Mammalia; Rodentia; Muridae.